Long non-coding RNA from Biomphalaria glabrata, 1332 nucleotides. RefSeq lists it as uncharacterized. The record is from RefSeq and is a predicted model, not a curated record. The transcript is spliced from 2 exons. NCBI's taxonomy places the organism in Eukaryota, Metazoa, Mollusca, Gastropoda, Planorbidae.
ACCUGUAUUUUCAGUUUUCUGUUGUAAGCUUUGCCACUUGUGAAGCCAUUUAUUAAUAUUAAUGUAUAGGUAGUACCGAGGGCUAUGGUUAUAGUUCUCUGUUCUUUUGAAUGAAUUUAUUUUUAUUUUAUUCCUGCAGUAUCUGUUUUAUGAUUUGUAUUUUGUGUGAAUUUUUAUUUUUUUUAUUUCUGCUGUAUAUAUUUUGACUUUUUAUCUCUGUAUUUUGUGUAUUUUUAUUUUGCGGGGACGCAAAAGUUUUGAGCGGGGGUGAAUGUGAGCGUGCGACCCCAGGUCUAUUUGUUAUCUAUUUUUAUCUGUAUUUCAAUCUGUUUACUUUAUAUAGGCCAGGCUAGAAUAAUUUAAUUUAGUGUCUUUUCUUCUUGCAUAGGUCAGUGCUGUGUGUUUGUAGUUUCCGCUAUUUAUAACUUCUGCUAGUUUUAGUCUUUUUCUGUUAUUUGUGGAAAAGUAGUUUUAAAAAUAGUUAACUAGCCUUAGAGUUGUUGGCACUGUUUCCAUUUCUUUGUCCCUGAUUAGUUCUACAUAUUUUUGUCUUUAGCGCUUAGGUUAGGUUAGUAGUUAUUUUCUACUUUCAGUCUAAGUGCAAGUCUAGAAGCUGUAUAGGGUCCCUGUACGAGUUUAGAACAUAAAUAUCUUUCUUCUUCCUUUUUGUAUUUUUGUGAGAUUUAAAUUUUAAGAUUCUCUUUUUUAUGCUGUUUAAUUUGGUAUAUAAUGUUGUGUAGUUGUGUCUUUAGUAAUUUUCUAGAUUUUAUUAUAGCGUACGGCUAGGUACAAAUUAGGGAAAUCAGUAGUCCAGUUUAGUUUUAGGUAAUUAGCGUGACGUCAUGCUCUCCGAUAUGUUCGCGCUGACCAGUUAUAGCUAGCUCCAGAACCACGUUGAGCCCUCUUUUGUCUUGACCAGUGGUCAGUGCUGACAGUGGUGCUGGUGUAGAGUUAAUUGUGUGUAGUGUAAUUUCAGCUGGGACCGCCUGCUAUCCUUACUGUUGUUAGUCUACUGCAGUACUGCUGUUGUUAGUCUACUGUAGGCUGUUGUUAGUCUACUGCCAUUAGUCUGCCAUUAGACUGCCAUUAGUCUGCCAUCGCCUCCUUGUACCUUUUUUUGUUAUAUUUUUUUAAUUCUAAGCUUAGGUCUAGGGUAGUAAUAGUUAGAUAAUUGGUUUGGUUAGUCUGUUAGUGUUUGUAGAUUUAGAGGGUUUUAGUUAGUUGCUGAGUUCAGUUGUAGUGCUAGUGUAGCUCUAUAUGUUAUAUUUUAUUAUUGAUUUAUUUGUGUGUGUAAAUAAAGUUUCUUUUUGUUUUAUUUAUCCUAAAGUAAAA